RNAcentral lists this ribosomal RNA (498 nucleotides) under uncultured bacterium. Its description in RNAcentral is "partial 16S ribosomal RNA". It matches the Rfam family "Bacterial small subunit ribosomal RNA", at positions 29 to 523 of the family's 1533-position model. The record is from RNAcentral.
AUUGAACGCUGGCGGCAUGCCUUACACAUGCAAGUCGAACGGUAACGCGGGGCAACCUGGCGACGAGUGGCGAACGGGUGAGUAACGCAUCGGAACGUGCCCAGUAGUGGGGGAUAGCCCGGCGAAAGCCGGAUUAAUACCGCAUACGACCUACGGGUGAAAGGGGGGGAUCGCAAGACCUCUCGCUAUUGGAGCGGCCGGUGUCAGAUUAGGUAGUUGGUGGGGUAAAGGCCCACCAAGCCUUCGAUCUGUAGCUGGUCUGAGAGGACGACCAGCCAGACUGGAACUGGGACGCGGGCAGGACUCCUACGGGAGGCAGCAGUGGGGAGUGUUGGACAAGGGGCGCAAGCCCGAUCCAGCCAUGCCGAGUGCGGGAAGAAGGCCUUCGGGUUGUAAACCGCUUUUGUCAGGGAAGAAACGCUCUGGGCUAAUACCCCGGGGUAAUGACGGUACCUGAAGAAUAAGCACCGGCUAACUACGUGCCAGCAGCCGCGGUAA